RNAcentral lists this ribosomal RNA (388 nucleotides) under uncultured bacterium. Its description in RNAcentral is "partial 16S ribosomal RNA". It matches the Rfam family "Bacterial small subunit ribosomal RNA", at positions 523 to 914 of the family's 1533-position model. The record is from RNAcentral.
AUACGGAGGAUCCGAGCGUUAUCCGGAUUUAUUGGGUUUAAAGGGUGCGCAGGCGGCCAUUUAAGUCAGCGGUUAAAUCGUGGGGCUCAACCCCAUUCUGCCGUUGAUACUGGGUGGCUUGAUUGCGGUCGAGGUUGGCGGAAUUCGUUGUGUAGCGGUGAAAUGCAUAGAUAUGACGAAGAACACCGAUUGCGUAGGCAGCUGACCAGAUCGCAAAUGACGCUCAUGCACGAAAGUGCGGGGAUCGAACAGGAUUAGAUACCCUGGUAGUCCGCACAGUAAACGAUGAAUACUUGUUUUCGGCGAUAUAAUGUCGGAGGCAAAGCGAAAGCGAUAAGUAUUCCACCUGGGGAGUACGCCGGCAACGGUGAAACUCAAAGGAAUUGAC